RNAcentral lists this ribosomal RNA (775 nucleotides) under uncultured Neocallimastigales. RNAcentral describes it as "partial large subunit ribosomal RNA". It matches the Rfam family "Eukaryotic large subunit ribosomal RNA", at positions 20 to 616 of the family's 3401-position model. The record is from RNAcentral. Lineage: Eukaryota; Fungi; Neocallimastigomycota; Neocallimastigomycetes; Neocallimastigales.
UACUAGAGUAGCACUCGCAUAUCAAUAAGCGGAGGAAAAGAAACUAACAAGGAUUCCCCUAGUAACGGCGGGUGAAGCGGGAAGAGCUCAAAUUUGAAAUCUUAAAGGGUUUCCCUUUACGAAUUGCAGUUUAAAGAAGUGUUUUCUGUUGAGGUUUUGGUAAAAGUUCUUUGGAAUAGGACAUCAUAGAGGGUGAGAAUCCCGUAUUUGACCUUUACUUUCAACUUUGUGAUACACUUUCAAAGAGUCGGAUUGUUUGGGAAUGCAGUCCAAAAUGGGUGGUAAAUUUCAUCUAAAGCUAAAUAUUGGCGAGAGACCGAUAGCGAACAAGUACCGUGAGGGAAAGAUGAAAAGAACUUUGAAAAGAGAGUUAAACAGUACGUGAAAUUGUCAAAAGGGAAGCGUUUGACACCAGUGUUGUUUUUCUGAAAAUCAAUUAAAGAACUGUUUAUGCUAAGUUGUUUAGACUUUAUCAGCUAACUGUUUAGUUUUGAGCUUUUCUUUAAUGCACUUUUCAGUUAACAAGUCAACAUCAAUUUCUUUUGCUGUAAAAAAGCUUGAGGAAGGUGGCUUGAGAUUCGUCUUAAGUGUUUAUAGCCUCUUGCCUAUGCAGUCGGAGAGAUUGAGGUCUGCAAGCGUAGAUCCUUCGGGGCUAAAUGCAUUUGUGCUAAGUUAUAGCAUUUUAUAGACAACUUGUUGACUAUGAUUUGUCUUGUAGCUUACUCGCUUAUGUUAUUUUACCUACGCUUAGGAUGUUGAGCGCAUGUCUCUCUCU